GGUAAUGAGGAACGACCGGAGCCGAAGCGAAAGCGAGUCUUAAGAGGGCGAAAGUAGGAUGUUGCAGACCCGAAACCGGGUGAUCUAUCCAUGAGCAGGUUGAAGUUGAGGUGAAACUCAAUGGAGGACCGAACCGACUACCGUUGAAAAGUUAGCGGAUGACUUGUGGCUAGGGGAGAAAUUCCAAUCGAACCCGGAGAUAGCUGGUUCUCCCCGAAAUAGCUUUAGGGCUAGCGUCGGAAAGAACCUUAGUGAAGGUAGAGCACUGAAUGUGUGAUGGCCCCAUCCCGGGGUACUGAAUACAAUCAAACUGCGAAUGUCAUUAAGGAUGUCCGGCAGUCAGACUGUGAGUGAUAAGGUCCAUGGUCAAGAGGGAAACAGCCCAGACCGCCAGUUAAGGUCCCAAAAUACAGGCUAAGUGGAAAAGGAUGUGGGGAUGCCCAGACAACUAGGAGGUUGGCUCAGAAGCAGCCAUCCUUUAAAGAGUGCGUAACAGCUCACUAGUCGAGUGACCCUGCGCCGAAAAUGUACCGGGGCUAAGCCUGAUACCGAAACUGCGGAUUGUAGGAAACUAUAGUGGUAGGGGAGCGUUGUAUACGAGCAGAAGCCGUACCGUGAGGAGCGGUGGAUUGUAUAGAAGUGAGAAUGCCGGUGUGAGUAGCGAGAUGUAGGUGAGAAUCCUACACACCGAAAGCCCAAGGAUUCCAGGGGAAGGUUCGUCCGCCCUGGGUAAGUCGGGACCUAACGCGAGGCCGAAAGGCGUAGUGGAUGGAAAGCAGGCGAAAGAUUCCUGCACCCGUAUAUGGAGCGAAGGAGUGACGGAGACGGAUAGUGUGACCCUCUUAAUGGAUUGAGGGCGAAGCGAAGCGGCUGGUUACCAGGCAAAUCCGGUAACCUUAAGGCUAGAGCGUGACAGGUAAGCGAAAUCUACGGAAAGUAGCGAAGCACAUGAUGACGGCUUCCAGGAAAAGCUUCUGGCAAUGCAUAUGCGGCCCGUACCAAAACCGACACAGGUGGGCAGGGAGAGAAUCCCGAGGUGAGCGAGAGAACUGUUGCCAAGGAACUCGGCAAAAUGACUCCGUAAGUUAGCGAGAAGGAGUGCUUAAGCAAUUAAGCCGCAGUGAAGAGGCCCAAGCGACUGUUUAACUAAAACACAGCUCUCUGCGAAGUCGCAAGACGAAGUAUAGGGGGUGACACCUGCCCGGUGCUGGAAGGUUAAGAGGAUCUGUUAAGAGCGAUCUGAAGCAGUGAUCCGAAGCCCCAGUGAACGGCGGCCGUAACUAUAACGGUCCUAAGGUAGCGAAAUUCCUUGUCAGGUAAGUUCUGACCCG
This 1331-nucleotide ribosomal RNA is filed under the name human gut metagenome. Its description in RNAcentral is "bacterial LSU rRNA". It matches the Rfam family "Bacterial large subunit ribosomal RNA", at positions 645 to 1990 of the family's 2925-position model. The record is from RNAcentral.